GGCCGGUGAUGUUUAGAUGUAUUGUCCGUACCAUCUGAGAGAAAUCUCUGAUGCAUUAACCUCUAGCUUCUGAGGCCUCGUACUAAGCUUUUUUUUUUUUUUUUUUUCUACUUGUUCUAGUUUCUGGUUCAUAGGUUAUUGCAAAGUUGUUUUCUUGGUGAGGCCUUGAUGAAUGUAUUAUAUACCAUCAAACUUUGAAAGCCCCAGAUUGGAGCUUGUUGAUGCCAACACUAUUUUCUGAGCCUUGUGUUUUUUGUUCUUUCAACAAAGUUGUAGUCUUAAGAUCUAGAUGGGAAUGGAGUUUAGCUGAAUAGAGAAGCACUGUAGUUGUUGGAUGUUGGUGUGGAAAGGCAACAAAUUAGAGUCUCUGAUGCGCUUAAUUACUAUAGCGUUUUAGUGCUGUACGUUGCCAAUAGGGA
This 419-nucleotide long non-coding RNA is filed under the name Rosa chinensis. RNAcentral describes it as "sRNA RchiOBHm_Chr5g0023921". The stretch from base 161 to 245 matches the Rfam family "small nucleolar RNA snoR116". The record is from RNAcentral. Lineage: Eukaryota; Viridiplantae; Streptophyta; Magnoliopsida; Rosales; Rosaceae.